RNAcentral lists this long non-coding RNA (36562 nucleotides) under Ananas comosus (pineapple). Its description in RNAcentral is "long non-coding RNA (ACOM_LNC033958)". Lineage: Eukaryota; Viridiplantae; Streptophyta; Magnoliopsida; Poales; Bromeliaceae. The record is from RNAcentral.
UUUUUUUUUUUUUAACCUACAAAGUAACAUGUCAUGCCUUUCUAACCAAUAAGAGCAUGACAAAUGUCAAGAGCAGGUCACGGCACGCUAAAAAGAAAGUUAUCCUCGCCUUUAGACUUAUGCGCACAAAUUUUUUGGCAGAUAAAAAUUGUAUGAGACCCCCUCAACUAUAGUGAUGUCUGAAACAGCCCUUUUGACUAUAUAUUUUUUCAGAUCGACCCCUUCUCAGCUUUUGAAUCUUUAGAAUUAAAUAAUUUUAGCCAAAUUAUUUAAAAACUUUACUAAAUUAAUCAAUAAUUCGAGUUUAUAGCGACUGAAUAUGAACUAAUCAAUUGCUAAUAUAUUAUUAUAUAUAAUUAAUUUUCAAAACUGAAACGUAAUCUUACAAGUUUAAGGGACACUACUCAAAAAAAAAAGAAAAAAACUCGAGGGGCCUGCAUCAAAAUGCUCUAUAGUUAAGGUUUAUUCCGUACAAUUACUCUUUAUCUCAACCGUUCUUUUCUUAUUAUUUUCUCAGCCGUUCUUUUGUUAUUAUUAUUAAUUUUUUAAAAUUUGGUCAAAGAUACACUAAUGUGCUCCUCAUUGGUGGAAAAUCUAAUUAUGGGAUACACUCUGAACAGCGUAUCCAUAUUCCAUAAACACCAUGCAAUUCUCAUUUGUGGGAAUAAUCAUUACAAAAUGCCCUAAAACUAUUUCCCUUCAUUAUGCGUCCACCACGAUAGCCACAGAUCAUCUACAUUAAUUUCUAAAGCUACAUAUUUUGAAAAUAAAAGAACAAUUUUUGAAUAAAAAGCAGCUCAAUUCAAUACUCAAUAGAUGGUAUUGGUAUGGAAUAUUGAAACAUUUUUUUUAAAAAAAAAAGGGUCCAAAAAAGAAAUUUGUGGUGGACUCGGUCUAGGAAAGAAAAUGACGCAUAAAAAGCAUGUCCUCGUGAGAAAAAAUGAGCAACGUGGUCCAACCAACUCUUCCAAGCAACAGAACCCCUUCUAUACGUUAUUUAAGAAGAUAAACUGUUAAUAUUUAAGGUAUCAAAAAAUGCCCUUUCUUUUUUAAUCAUUUUUCUUAUUCUUAUAUUAUAUCCCAUAACUCUCUCUCUCUCUCUCUAAAUGUGUGUAUAUAUAUAUAUAUAUAUAUAUAUAUAUAUACCCUUAAGUUGUUAUUAAUAUAAUAGAGUUUGAGUCAAAGCACUGCACAUGUAUAUGGCUUGCUAAAGAGCGCUUAGAAGGAGUACUGGGCAAGAUGAAGAGUUGUGUUGAUGGAGAGGAGGGGAUGUGUGGAUCCAUAAAUGAAAAGAGAAAGAGUGCUAUAGCCGCUAUAAAAUCGUCGACGAGAGGAGUCGGUAUCGUCUUCGUUGCGCUUUUCCUUCUCGUAGUUUUGAUUCCUUCGCGAUGGAUCGACCGUGUUGUGAGUACUUCUCAAAUUCUUUCUUAAGCUUCCUCUUUGAGUUUACGAACCAUUUUCAUUGUAAAAAACAAGCAUGCAUGAUAAAUUUAUGGGCAUAAUAAGCAUGAUUCUUCUUCUUAUUUUUUAUUUGGAAUUGCACCUUUUUUUAAAAAAAAAAACUCACACACCGAUUAUGAUGCAACGUGGGAGACAAAACUAUAAAAUGUGUUCUUUUAAAGGGAAAAAAAAAAAGAGAAAGAAACGGAUUCACCUCUUGUUAAAAGAUUUGUUCAUCAUCGUGAAAAAAAAAAAAUAAAUAUUGAAGUUUUAUAAAAGAAUAUUUAUUAGUAAAAGUUUCGGCACAAUAUAUGUUUUUUUCCUCCUUUUAUUUUUCCUUUUGUGAUUGUUGAAGUUUUUUCUUAUUAGUUGGAGAGAUUCUAAAUUGAAAAAAAAAACCAUAUACGAAGCAUGAGCUUUGAUAAUUAUAGAAAAGAUUCUAUUGAGGUUAACUUAAUUAACCACCGUAAUCGUUUUGAUAGUUAAGAAUAUUUUGGACGAUUCCUUAAAUUUUGGGAUGAUUUAAAUUUAGUGCAUUAAUUGUCCGCAAAAUUAUGCUGCAAUCGAAGUUAGGAUUAUUAUUUUCUAGAAAGGGAAUUUAUUAGAAUAUAAAAAAUAUGUCACCUUAGUGGUUACAGUAAUUAUUUUUCUUUCAUUCGUAAGUGAAAGUCAAUGUACGUAAUCAAGUAGAAAAAUCUUUUAUGUAAUUCAUGAUAAUGACAUGCACCAUAUGAGCACUGAUUUUUCUUCCAUUAAUUCCUCUACACUUUAGACUGGGACUAAUAUUCAAUAGCCGUGAAUUGAUUUACAACCGCGUUUAUUUAGGUGGGAGUAGACUUUUGAAUGAAUUAAAAUUCAUGAAAAAAUUAUUUUUCUUCAUCCUUUUGUUUGUAUAAUUGUGAAAUUGAAGUUUUUUUUCGUAUUUAUGUUUAUUUAAUAGAAAGUGUUAAAAGUUGAAGACGUCAGAGAUAAGUUAAUAUUUUAUAAUUUUUUUUCUUUGUUUUCCGUAAUUGACUUUGACUUGGGAUGAGCCGGAGUCAAUUAUGUUAUUUUGAAGAGUUUGAGUUUCGAUUGAAGUUGAAGUUACAGUAAAACCACGCAACAAAGUGAAACUAAAAAUAUUAAAGAAGCUUAUGAAUAGAUAUAUCUGUUAAUCCCUUGCUUAAAAAAACAAACUUUUCAAAUGCUCCUGUUUUCAUACUUCUUAGUAAAAAAUUCUGAUCAUAAUUUUGUAGCAUUAGAUUGACGAUGACAAAUGACAAUGAUAUUUUCGAGUUAUUUUGAAGCUCGGAAACACCUGUAUAAGACUUUGUUAAUUGACUUGACCUUGUGAACCACUCAGGCGUCUGAGUCCAAACAUACUCCUUUCCUAUAAGAUGGUGACUUAAAUGGUGCUCUCCUAUAGGAUGUGACUUAAGUUGUGAUAGAGAAUCUAGAAGAUAUUGGCCACUGUUUUUGGCCCAGAAAAUUUAGGCGAAUUUAAUUUUUUUGUUUUUGAGAUAAUAUAGUAGUAUGUUACCCUUAAAAAUGUGAAACAAUUACACCAUAUUUGAAUUAGGUACAGGAGGGAAAUAAGGCCUGGUUACAAGAAGUUCCCCAUAGGGGGCGUUUGGAUUGGCGAAUUUGUAGAUUCAACGUAAGUCAAGUAUAGUGGUGUUUGAGUUUUCCUGAAGUGUGAUUAUUUUUCUGUUGUUUGUUUUGACGUAACUCGUACCACUGAAAGUUAAAUUCAAUCACUUCUGCUGUUUGUUUUGAUGUAACUUGGUGCUGGUAAAAUUAGUUUUUUGAGUUCCGUUGUUUGUUUUGAUGUAAGUAAGUGGAUCCCAUUAUCUCCUAAAUAUAGUAAUAAAUUUAUCACUAUAAAAUUUAACCUAUUAUAUAAUUAAAUUUUUUAUUAUUAUUUAAAGAUAAUCUUAAUUUAUUAUAAAUAAAGUAAUUCUAACCCAUUAUAAAGAAAGUAGAGUUUAGAUUUUACUGUUUAAUAAAUUGUUUAGAGAAGGUUGAGUGUGGUGGAAGUCGAGUUCGGUACUUUAGAGCCGGAAGUCGAGAGUAGGUGAAGUGGAGCUCUAACGUAACUUGAGUUACAUUAUAUUUUUCACUUACACCAAAACAAAUAACGGAAGUGAUGGAACUUGAGUUCCAUCACUCCACUUACACCAAAACAAACGGGCCCAUAUUGUCGAGAGAGAUAGUAAUAGUAUGUUACCCUUGAAAAUGUGAAACAACUACAGUUACUGCACCAUGUUUGGACCCCUACAAGAGGGGGGAUAAGGCCCGGGUACAAAAGGUUCCCCAUGUGGUCGAGAGAGAGGGAGAUAUUUUUUUAUUAUUUUUUAUUUAUAACUAUUCAUUAUUCUUCUUAGAACCAAACGAAAUUUUAAUUUUCGAACUUGAAGUCUUAUAUAUCAAUCAUCAAAUUUUUUACCAUCUAUAUAUGCUUAGGACGAUCGGUUUAAUCUUCAAAAUGCUAAAAACUAUGAAUCUCAAACUUUCGAGUUUGAGAACCAAUCAAACUAGAAUAAGGCUAAAAGGUUUAGAGCAUAGUAAACAUUGAAACUAUGAACGUAAAACUUACAAGUUUGAUAACCAAGCAAAAAAAAAAUAUGAAUAAAAAGUUUAGAGCAUAGGAUCGCAAUGAUUUAUUUACGCAUUCAAGUUUGAAUUGUUUAAUUUGAAAUACUUUGAUUUUUGUUUAAAAAUUAUUAAUAUUUUGUGAAAUAUAUAGUGUUAAUUUUUGAAUGUUUGCAUGAAUUAAUAGAAAAAAAAAAAUCCUACAUCAUGUAUGUUGACAAAUUUAUAGCCUAUAUAUAAUUUAGGGGCAUUUUGGGGUACCUGUAACACUUUGUUUUCCUCUGCACGCAGUCCUUCGUACUAACAAACAACGAGGAGAGCUCGUCCCACGGUGGCCACGCCCACCCCAAAAAGUCCCCACGAAUCCCCAUCUCCUUCACCUGCCCUAACGCGACAUCCGUCGAACGCCUCUCCUGCACCCGGAGAGCACCACCAUUAUCAACCUCUCCCUCCCCUUCCCCCUCCCCCACCCCCUCAUCCUCCUCCUCCGAACCCUCCCCUUCCACUGCUGCUACUACUGCUGCUGCUGCGUGCCCCGGCUACUUCCGCUACAUCCACGAGGACCUGCGCCCAUGGCGGGGCCGCGGGGGGAUCACGCGCGCGGCGGUGGAGGAGGCGCGGAGCCUCGCGCACUUCCGGCUCGUCGUGCUCGGCGGGCGCGCCUUCGUGGAGCACUACAGCGGCGCGUUCCAGACGCGGGACGUGUUCACGCUGUGGGGGGUGCUGCAGCUCCUNCCCACGAAUCCCCAUCUCCUUCACCUGCCCUAACGCGACAUCCGUCGAACGCCUCUCCUGCACCCGGAGAGCACCACCAUUAUCAACCUCUCCCUCCCCUUCCCCCUCCCCCACCCCCUCAUCCUCCUCCUCCGAACCCUCCCCUUCCACUGGGACUGCUGCUGGUACUAAAACUUGCCCGGGUUACUUCCGCUACAUCCACGAGGACCUGCGGGCAUGGCGGGGGGCGGACGGGAUCACGCGCGCGGCGGUGGAGGAGGCGCGGAGCCUCGCCAACUUCCGCCUCGUCGUGCUCGGCGGGCGCGCCUUCGUGGAGCACUACAGCGGCGCGUUCCAGACGCGGGACGUGUUCACGCUGUGGGGGGUGCUGCAGCUCCUCGCCCGCUACCCGGGCCGCGUCCCCGACCUCGACCUCAUGUUCAACUGCGACGACCCGCCCGUCGUCCGCUUCGACAGCUACCGCGCCGGCGAAGGCCCCUCUGCGCCGCCGCUGCCGCCGCUGUUCCGCUACUGCAAGGAACCCGCCACCGCCGACAUCGUCUUCCCUGAUUGGUCCUUCUGGGGUUGGUAAUUAUUUGAUCAAAUCUCUCACUAUUUGCUUCCAAUUUUUUGCCGUGAGAUUAAAAUUAUUCAGUAGUUUUGGGUUUUUAAUGCUAAAUUAUAUGAAACAAUCAUACCGGAGGAGGAGGAGGAGGAGGGUGUUUUUAAUAUUUAUAUUCAACCCUGGCUCGAGACAUUUCGAUACACCUAAAACAUGGACUUUUAAUAUUUCUAUUCAACAUUUAACACAUUUAGAGUCCUAUAAUUUCGAGGCCCAAAAGGAGAAAAUGCCCUGAAAUUUAUUGCUUGUUGUAUAAUGAAACCUUGAAUCAAGACCCAUAAAAGAGUCACAUUUAAGUGAAUAAGUAUGUAAUAGGAGAAGCUUUUGUGGUAAUGAUGUUUGAUCAGUGUUGUACGGCAAAAAUAGAUCUCUUUUUGUUUUUUCGUAAGAAAGAACUAAAAAUUGUCGUAACGUCGCCCAGCUGUAGCUGAAUUAGAAGUUUCCAAUUGGAGCUUAGAUAUGUUGGACUUAGAAACUCAUUCCAACAACAACAGCAGCUCAUGUUUAGCCGCCGCUUCGUAUAAUAGAAAAGUUAUUUAAAAAAUGAAGCCAAAUUGGCUCUACAAUGAGUGGAAGGAGUAGGACAAGUACCAAUGUCCCAAAUUUGCCAUGUUGCAGAGCUUAAUUUCUACCCGAGAAGUAUAAGUCAGGUUGUUGUUCUCGAGCUUCAACCAAAGCAAGAAGUGGCAAACAAGCCUUUUCUGUCGGGGAGUUGGACUGCUAGCUUCAUUAGAAACUUAUUGGGUAAAUUAGAAAACUAUAACUGCUCUUUCAAGCUGCUCCACUUAAACGGGGCUUUGCAGUACUCGCAAUUUGCAAGUGCGCAUCAAAAAUCUCUCUUGGAAUUUUGCUGCAAUAUCUGUUCAGUCUUAAUCUGAUAUUCAGAUUUAAUAGGCCGGAGGUCAACAUAAAGCCAUGGGAGCCGCUUUUGGUGGAUCUUAAAGAAGGCAACGAGCGAGUUAAAUGGAAGGACCGGGAACCUUAUGCCUUCUGGAAGGGCAACCCAUGGGUGGCUGGAACUCGGCAGGACCUCCUCAAGUGCAAUGUCUCCAAUGGCCGCGAGUGGAAUGCUCGGCUUUUUACACAGGUACAUUUCAUGAAAAGUUGUAUCGCGCACCCACCCUGUCUCAUUCAUAAGUAUGUUUAAACUCAUCUUCGUGGUGCUUGUAGAAUUGGGAAAGUGAGAUCCGGAAUGGAUUCAAGGGAUCAAACCUGGCUGACCAAUGCUUAUACAGGUAAUUUACUGCCGACUCGACCAUUGCUCCCAUUUUACCUUGUAUAAGCGCAAGGUUACCUUUAUAGUGUAUUGAUGCUUGAUGGUUUGGUAUGGUUGUUUGAUCAUUUAAUGUAUAUUUUAAUUUAAUGCUUUGAUGCUACGUUCUUCAGUUCACUAAUUUUUCGUUGGAAGUUUUAUUCUGACCGUCAGGCUACCUAAUGUUCUCUAAUUGCAGAUAUAAGAUCUAUAUUGAGGGACGGGCGUGGUCGGUGAGUGAGAAGUACAUUUUGGCGUGCAACUCACCAACUCUGUUAGUGACGAGUAUGUACCAGGACUUUUUUACGAGGGGAUUGAUGCCGGGUCACCAUUACUGGCCAAUUAGGCCCGACCAUAAGUGCCCGUCAAUCAAGUUCGCUGUGGACUGGGGCAACAAGCACCAGAAAGAGGUAACCAUGCUAGUUUUAAUUUUUCAUACUCGAGAUAUUGUAGAAAAUUACGAUUUCCAGCCUACUAAGUUCGUCAGGUUUAAUUCAAGUCCAUUCAGGGAUCGGGAUUUUCUUGUUCCAUCCGAGACAGGUUAUGCUAGACUUGAGUUGUCAUUGAAACAUUAGAUCUAAUUGAGCAUCGAGUCCUACCAAGUGGUACAUUACACCUAAAUGUAAUUGUCAGUGCUUUUUGAGAAUGAAAAAGUAACAGGAAAAAGUGAGGGUGUUUGGUUUGAGCAUAGCUCUAUUCUCGACAGGCUAUUCACGAUGAUAAAGUGCUUCAUAGGUGUUAGGUAUCCUAAUAAGUUCUUGUGGUGUAUGCGGUUCACUCCGUGUUCAUUAAUUUGUUUAGAUCAUAUGUAACAUUGUGAUCGAUGUCUCAUUUGCAAUGUUGCUCUUACUAAUCUCUGUAACUAAAACAGGCGCAAGCUAUAGGAAAGGCGGGGAGCGGCUUCAUUCAAGAGGAAGUGAAGAUGGACUACGUAUACGACUACAUGCUGCACUUACUAACCGAGUACGCGAAGCUCUUGCGGUAUAAACCUACCGUGCCCGAGAAGGCUACUGAGUUGUGCUUGGAAUCCAUGGCUUGCGCCGCCGAAGGGCUCGUGAAGACAUUCAUGAUGGACUCGAGGGCGAAAUGGGUCCAUGAUUCGGAACCGUGCACGUUGCCGCCUUCCUUCGAUCCUAAAGAGCUCAAAGAGAUAUCUAAAAGAAAAGAUGAGGCAAUAAAACAAGUGGAAAUGUGGGAGAGAAAAGCAUAAUCCGCGGAGCAAAAUUGUUAGUUAUAUCCGGAAAAAAAGAGUAAGUUUUAUAUAAUUCGCCCUUCCAAAAUUUACAGCUUUUUGUCUUUUUUACAGUAGAAUUGAGAGCAAGCACAUAAUUUUUCAGUUUCGCAUCUUGGCUAUUUAGAAUAUCGUCUAUGAAACCAAUGUAGAGGAACAGCAAGUCUAAAAUUGUUUUACAAAUGUGAAUGAUUAACAUAUAUUGCUUUACAGAAAAUAAUAAAGUUAUGUUAAACUUGUGAUUGAGGUCUCAGUGAGUCAAAUUUUAUUUGGAACUCUUUUGCUUUUGAGUUUUUUUUUUUUUAUUUAUUGAGAAAUAGAUCAUAUUACCCGUUUCGUUUAUUUCAUUUAAAAAUAAACUUAGCUGGAAAUAUGAAUCAAUUAGGAUUCAAAUUGGGGAUCUCGGGUACCAGCUACAAAGUUUUUUGCCACUUGCGCUAUGGAUAGUCGGUUUUGGGUUCGAUCGGUGAGCUCUCUAAACUUAAUUUGUCAAAGUGUUGCCACCUUUUAAGCAAUGCGGCGCAGAUCUCGACAAUUUGAAUGGUCUAAGUUCACUUUAUUUAUUAUCUUAGGACCUUUUAUUAAAAUUUUAUGUUGCACUCUAUUCUAUAUCUUUACAUAGAGACGCAUCAAGAGAACGUGAUUGGCGUUCAGGACAUAUGACUCUCCUCCUAUUAAAGAAGUGUACAUUAUAAUACUUACACCUCUCCUAUUAAAGAUGAAGUCUACAUUGUAAUAUUUAUACCGCAUUAUUUAUAUUUAGUCAAUCAUUUUUUUUUUAGAUAAAAGAAUAAUAAUUUUUUAAAAAAAUCAUAAUGGGAUGGGUGAUUUCUAAGAAAGUUUUUUGAUUAGUUGGAGACAUCGAAUCAGUAAUAUAAGUGUUACACUUUAGGAUUUUUUUUUUUUUCUCUUUAGGGGCUGUUUGAUUAGGCAAAAAAUAUAAAAAAUGUUUUUUUGAAAAAAAUUUCUAUAAAAAAUUGCUUUUUCUACAAAAAAGAAGUGUUCUAAUAUUUUUUCUAAAUUUUAUGAAAAACUAAUGUUUUUGUUAUUCGGUUUUUUUAGAAAAAAAAAAUAUUAUUUUUCAUAAAAUAUGAAAUUUUUUUCCAAAUAUGGUAGUUUGCCUUAGAACCAAAUAAAAGGAGGACACUUUUUUAAGUAACCACAGCUUCUUAAUCAAAAUGGCACAGAUAUUUGAAAAGUCAGGUUUAAUAUACAAACUAAUGUAGGCACCUUCGGAAUAAAAAAGAAUACACAUACAAGAAACUGAAAAAGAAGCAGCAGCUGCAGUAGUAAAAAUAUAAAAAUAAAAAUAUAAGAAAGAUAAAAAAAAUAAGAAAAAAAUUAUAAGAAUAAUAAAUUAUAUUUAAAGAAGGACUAAAAUAUCAUAUGUCUCAUAUUUGAGCAAAAAAUUAUAACGCAUGAAAGUUCGAGAACUAAAGUUUCACGCAUCAUAUAGUUUGAGGGCCAAAAGUGUAAUUUACUAUUUUUUAUAUUUUUAAUUCAAAUGAAAAUGGAGUUGAGCAUUAAUCGAUUUUGUUCAAUUAAUAAUUUCAUAUGAGGAAAAAAUAUAUUAAAAUAUCUAAUAAAUUUUAGAAUGCCUAAUUAUUAAAAUUAAAAGUCUACCAAUUAUAUUUUGGAUAUUUUAAAAAAUUUUAAAUAUAAAAUUGAUCCCUCAUCAGGCUAUAAAUAUGGCACUAAAAUUUGAUAUUAAAACCAAAAUAAAAAUAUAUAAAACUUUUCUAAACUAUGAAUUAUUUUGAUUUAACUAUCUAAUCUUUCAAAAUUUUGUUUUAACAAUUCAAUCUUUCUAUAUGUUAGAUUUGAACCGGUCAAUAAUAUUUUGAUUUUAAAAUUUGAAUGCGUCAUUUAAUUUACAAAUUUAGUUCGUAUACUUCGUACGAUUCUUGAAACCAAAAUUUAUUAAAAUCAUUAAUUAACUUAAACUAAAUCAAUCUCUCAUAUUUUUUAUUAUAUAAUCUACAUCUAAGUGAUUAAUAUUAUAAAAUCAAAAUUUAUAUUUAAUGUAUGAAAUUUAAACUAUUUAAAAAUUAUGUGUUUAAAUUUAUAUAAUUAGAGAAAAAAAAUUAGAUUAGAUUAAUAAUAAAAAAAACUCAAAUCCCUUUGUCCAGAAUAGUUGCGCGAGAGAGGGGACAAAAAAAAAAAAAAAAAAAAAAAAAAAAAAAAAAAAAAAAAAAAAAGAGGCCCCACCCUCACCCCUAUCCACCGGGGCCCCACCCGCACGGCCGCACCCUCCAAUUCCCACCUACUCUCUCUUAAUGGCACCUGUAUAGUGAACUAAGGUUGCAUAUUUUCUAUAGAUAGAUUAUUAAACUAAAUGAGAGGAGAGGAAUUAAUAUUUAGAAAAAAUUUUAACUAUCACUUCUGUAAUUUUAUAUUUUCUUAUUUUAUUAUUCUGUAAUUUAAAGUGUAUUAAUUUAGUAUUCCGUAAUUAUAUUUUUAUUCUUUUAUUAUUGAUUUUAUUAAUUUUUUUUGUUAAAUCGGUAACAAAGUUCAAACUCAAAAGUAUUAAAAUAAAUAUUUGAUAAAAUUUAGAUAGAAUAUUUAAUUUUUUUUAUACAUAAUUUAAUAAAAAAUUAACGAAAAAAAUACGAAACCACAAUAUUUAAUAGCGGUGCACGCGUAGAAGCACAAAAAGGGAGGAUAUAGACAACUAGGACGUCAAAUGAGUAGAAACGGUUACGAACAGUCCCCCUCAAAAGUCAACACUACCCCCCAAAUUGCUAGGCUUAGCCUCCUCCACACCUCGUCCCCUCACGCUUUCCACCUUCGUCUUAAUUUCUGUUUUAAGAUGCUCUCCCCUGAAAUAGAAACCAACUUAUUAAUCUUCGCAACAAGAUUAUUAUAAACUACUCAUCAUUGUAAGAGAGAAGAGUAGAGUUCGGAUAUAUAGAGUAUUCGUCAUGAAGAGCACUUGUGUUGGGGCGUCGGAAGGCGUCGACAGUGGCGGCGGCGGCGACAGAGCUGAAAAUGAAAGGGCGAAGAGCGCGGUAGAGAGUAUACACUCUUCCGUGAAAGGCGUCGGUGUCGUCUUCGUCGCGCUUUUGGUCCUCGUCGUUUUGAUCUCCGCGCGAUGGGUCGACCACGUCGUAUGCACCUCUAUGACGAUCGUCGUCGCAGGAUUCUUUUGAUUUAGUUUCUUUCCUUACCUCUGAAUUUUUCUUCUUCUGUUUUUUUUUACUGAGCUAUAAGUGCAAAUGCUUCUACAGUAGCGGCAUGGUUAUUUUAAAUUUUUAGUUGUAAUGCCAUUGCACUUGUGAUGAGUUUAUAGAUAGAAUUUGUAUCUGAUCGAUUAAUUAUUGAGUCAUGUAAAAAGAAACUAUGAUUGAUUUUUUGAGCAUCAGGAAAUAAUGAAACGCUGAUUCUAUCUGUUUUGGCUGCGCGUGCAGCCCUUCCUCCUAAAGACCAGCAGCAGCAGCAGCAGCAGCAGUACAGUCACAGAGAAGCAGAUAUCCUCCCACUAUGACCAUGCGCACCCCAAAAGAAUCCCCAUCUCCUUCGCGUGCCCUCCUAAUGGGACAUCCGUCGAACACCUCUCCUGCACACCGAGAUCACCACCACUACGUACCACUAGGACUGCUGCUGGUACUAAAACUUGCCCGGGUUACUUCCGCUACAUCCACGAGGACCUGCGGGCAUGGCGGGGGGCGGAGGGGAUCACGCGCGCGGCGGUGGAGGGGGCGCGGCGGUUCGCGCACUUCCGGCUGGUGGUGCUGGGCGGGCGCGCGUUCGUGGAGCGCUACGCGCGGCCGUACCAGACGCGCGACGUGUUCACGCUGUGGGGGAUCCUGCAGCUCCUCGCGCGCCGCCCGGGCCGCGUCCCCGACCUCGACCUCAUGUUCAACUGCGAGGACCCGCCCCUCGUCCUCCUCGACCGCUACCGCCGCCGCCGCCCCGACGCGCCGCCGCUGCCGCCGCUCUUCCGCUACUGCAAGGACCACGCCUCCGCCGACAUCGUCUUCCCCGACUGGUCCUUCUGGGGCUGGUACGCAAUUUACAUAUCUGUUCAUUUGUUUCUUUGUUUGUUUGUUUAUUUCCUUCAUUAUUUGGUACUGUUUGUGCUUCUUUAUUAUUAUUAUUAUUAUUAUUAUAUUACUAUUACUAUUAAAAUAAAAUUAAUGUCGCUUCCUUUGUCGCUAUCAAGUAUAUCGAGACAUAAUGUUGCGGUACAGGAAGGUCUGGUUGGGCCGGUACUCGGUUUCCUAACUACUCCAUGUGAAAGCCAUUGCAGUAAAUAGGUCGACUGAGGAAGAGAUUCCACUGUAUAUCAAUCACAUUAUAUUAUUUAUUAAUAAUUAAUUAUUAUUAUUAUUAUUUUUUUUGAGAGAUAGAUAGCACGCUAUCCGCUUCGUUUAUUUCAUUUAGAAAUAAACUUAGCUGAAAAUAUGAAUCAAUUAGGAUUCGAACUUGGGUCUCGGAUACCAACCAUCAAGUCUUUUGCCACUUGCUCUAGGAACGGUCAGCAUGCGGAAGUAAUUAACUAUAAAAAAUUAUUUUUUCUUACUUAGGGCAUAUUAGUAUCGAGGAUUACCAAAUAUUUUUUUUUGAAAAAAAAGCAACAUGCUAUUUAUUUCGUUCAUGUUGUUUACAAAUAGAUUUAGUUGAAAAUAUCAAAUAAUAAUUUUUGAACUUGAGAUCUCGAAUACAAAUUAAUAAAUUUUUUGCCACUUGUGCUGGGAAAGGCUGGUGAUUGCUUAAUAUUAAUAAGCGGAAAAGAGUCGGCCUAAGAGGACGUCAAUAUAUACAUUUCUACUUUUAAUGGUAAAAUAUAUAUAUAUAUAUAUCUUAGCCAAACUGAUGUGAUAUUUCCUGAGGUGUAGUUAUUUAUGAAAAUAAAUAAAUAUAUGUAUAUAUUUUGCAUGUGAAUUUGAUAGGCCGGAGAUUAAGAUAAAGCCAUGGGAGCUACUUUUAGAGGAUCUGAGGAAGGGGAGCGAGAGAGUGAAAUGGAAAGAUAGAGAACCCUACGCGUUUUGGAAAGGAAACCCAAGUGUUUCCCCGAGCCGAGAGGACCUUCUCAAGUGCAACGUCUCCAAUGGCCAAGAGUACAAUGCUCGGCUCUUUACACUGGUAUCAGCAUAAAAAACUUGCUUUUAAGCCAACUUUUCAUGGUCAUUUUACAGCAUACCCCUGCAAAAUUUUUUAUUUGAUAUUAUAUUGAUAUUUUGGAUGCCAUUAUAUCACUACUAAAGCAUCCGAUUCCAUCACUACUAAAGCAUCUGAUUCUUGUAAAAAUUUUAAUGUUUUCACAUAUACCCAUACCGGUAGAAAUCCGUUAAACAAAUAUAGUUAACCAUAGAUAAAAUACUUAAACCUAGUUAAUAAUGUGGUAAAUUGACUUUUUUACCGCUCUUAUUUUAUUUGUGAUGGUAGAAAGGAAAAAAAUAUUCGUUGGAGAUUUUUGGAAGAACAUUUCUGUAUAAUUACAACAAUUAGAGUUUUUGGAGGGAUAUAUUUGUGAUGGAAAAAAUAUUAUUUCACUUAUUUUCUAUUAAAAAAUAAAUGGUGCUUUAAUGGUAACAAAUCAAAGGGAUAAACAUAUGUAUCAUUGGACAUUUGUAAGGAUAAAUAUGAAAAGUUAAACUUUAGAGGGAUAUAUUUGCUAUUCGAUAUAUUUAGCUGUAUGAAGCUAACCCUUUAUGAAAUAUGCUAAUCUUAACUUGGGGGGUCAUCCAAUUCGUGAAAAAAUUGAUUUUUUACAUGAACAAUUAAGUUUUUGUAGAGGGUAUUCUUGUUAGUAGGUAAUCAAGUUUGAUUUUCUGAGACAUACAAGUAAAUGGCUGAUUUUAUGGAGAAUAUUCACGUAAAUGUUUGUGUAUCAUAAUACCUUUGCCCUUUUAUACUUAUCUCCACACAUAGUACAACUAUAUUUCAGCUAAUUUUUGAGUAGUGGUUUUGUAGAACUGGGACAGUGAGACCCAGAGUGGAUUCAAGAAAUCAGACCUAGCUAGCCAGUGUGUAUACAGGUAAUUUAAUUUAAUUUUUGUAGACCCAUCGUUCCAUCAUUUGACACAAGUGCAUAUUUAAAGUAAACUUAUUUUUAACCUAAUGCAUUUUGUGGUUUUGAUAGUCUGUUCAUAAAGGUCUAAACCUUUGUUGUGGAUGUUACUUGAACUUCAUGGUGUUUUGGUACAGGUAUAAGAUUUAUAUUGAUGGCAAGUCGUGGUCGGUGAGCGAGAAGUACAUCUUGGCAUGCGACUCGCCGAUGUUGCUGGUGACGACUCCGUACCAGGACUUCUUCACGCGGGGAUUGAUGCCGGGUCACCAUUACUGGCCGAUUAAACCCGAUCGGAAGUGCCAAUCGAUCAAGUUUGCCGUUGAUUGGGGCAACAGCCACCCAGAUGAGGUAGUCAUACACUUAUUUCAAACUUGAAACAAUAAAUAGCAGAACAGAAAACUUGUUGUAGGAUAUAAUUUUCUAUUUCGAGAAGUAAUAGUCAGAUGUUUGACAAUGAAAGUUUCGGAGCUUCUAUACUAAUGUAAGAUAAGCACUUGCUUUCUGGCCUAAAGCAAAAGUCUCUUCUUGUGCUGCAACUGAGUCUAGAGAACUUGUAGAACAAUUGUUAGCGCUCUACUAAAAAUAUACUUUUGCAUAAGCUCUAGUCAUGCCAAAUAGACUCGAAAGUAUAUGUUUGGUUUGACCUGCUGAAUGAAAAAUUCUAACCCUUUUAGGGCUACCUACACCAAAUCAGCAAGUUUGCGAAUCGCAGCUUGGCCAAACAGGUCCUAUUUUCCAUGGCCAUGUGUCAGCAAAGUUGUUAUCCCGAGAACAAGCCCAUUGAGGAAGAAGCCCUGGGUUCGGUUCCACAGGGAUUUUUUUGGGCCGCGCGCAUCCGACUCAAGCUUAUCAUACCCAACCCCUUAACAUACAGGGCUCAAUGUCAAGUUAGGUGUAGAGAGCUGUAGGUUUGGUGAAUUUGAGGCCUAAUUAGUCUUUGUUUGGGUUUAACUAGUUCGGAUUCGGAUCAGAACCAUCUAAUUUGAUUCAUUCAGUAUAGGGUCAGUAGCAUAUCAACAUAUAUAUAAGUACUUUUGUUUAUGAUCAAUGUCUUAGUUUCUCUUAAUGUACCUCAAAACUACGCAACUCCUAAAUUCCUGAUCCUGUGAAUCGAACAGGCACAAGCUAUAGGAAAGGCGGGAAGCGGCUACAUUCAAGAGGAAGUGAAAAUGGACUACGUAUAUGACUACAUGUUGCACUUACUAACAGAGUACGCAAAGCUCUUGAGGUACAAACCAACUGUGCCCGAGAAGGCGACCGAGCUGUGCCUGGAAUCGUUGGCCUGCGCCGCCGAAGGGCUCGAGAAGACGUUCAUGAUGGACUCAAUGGCGAAAUGGGUCCACGAUUCGGAUCCGUGCACAAUUCCGCCUCCAUUUGACCCUAAAGAGCUAGAAGAGAUGUCUCGGAAAAGAGACGAGGCAAUAAAACAGGUAGAGAUGUGGGAGAAUAGCUAUAGUUAGAGCACAAUUUGGGGAGAAUUGCAAGUUAUAUUGGAAGGAAUAUAUGUAUGUUCAAUGUUUUUUUGAUUCACAAUGUGUAGAGUAACAGUACAAGCUAAUGUGGGUUAACUAUAGUCGAAAAAUACAAAUAAGCUAGUUCAAUGCUUGUCUUAAUAAGCCAAUUUUAAGGCUCACAGGCUAAAUUUCUUCUCAAAGCAUGGAGAAUUGAUGAGUAUUUAGUCCUUGGAGUUUGAAUUGAGUUAAUUUGGGUGACCUGAGUGAGGUGUAGAGAAUAUAAAGCAUUAGAGAUUUGAACCUGUCACGGUUUCGGUUGAGGUGGAAUGAGUUUUACAUGCGGUUAAUGGGACGAGAGCGGGUUUGAAACCCUAUAUAUAUAUAUAUAUAUAUAUAUUUUUCACACAGGUAAGGUAUAGAGUGACGCGCGCUUUAAACCCGCCCCACUAUGAUCCCUACCAAUGUUGGUGGGUCAUCACUCAAUCAUACUCUCCGAGUGAAUUAUUUGGGGGAAAUAAUUAGCUGCUACUCAAUGUUGGUGCAGUGAGUUAAUGAAGUAGAAACAGUCACAUACUCAGAAAAUAGCAGCCCAACUUUUGAGCCUUGGCUUCAAAGGUGAGGAGAUGGCGAACGAAGAGAGGGAUGUUAACUUUUCACUGCCGCAAGAACGAAUGCUUGCUCUUCACACCAACUUGGUUGGCCAAUUCUUAAGCUAGAAGCUAAUAGGAAUUGAAACAAAGUUAGAUCAGAAACUUAGUAUCGAAGCUAAGGUUACAAGUAAAAAAGAAGAUAACACUAUUGUUAGUGAAAGCUCCAAAGUAGCCAAUUUCCUAAAGUUUGUUGAUUGAAUACUAUAAGUGGGAUUAGCUAGCUACGGGCGGUGAUGUGAGACUUAACAACAUUGAUUAUGUGGACCCUCCUAUAAACAGCAUACGCUCAAUUACAGAUUGCCACCUGUGCUUACUCGAUAGUCAUUCUGUUUUAUUUGAUUAAAAAGAAUUACGAGAAAAAUCAAUCGAAUGUACCGCUGAUUGAAACUAUAGCUGAUUUCAACUUUCAUGGUUCGAACAACUACGUACCUGCAAUUUUCGCGCUUUUGUGAAAUCAAAAUGAAAUACUCGAAAUGUUCAGUUAAUGGUGCCUUUAUUUAAACAAGCUAUUGAAAGCAACAACAUAUCUACCUUAUUUUCUUUUGAAUUUUCUAUGGUGGAAAGUGAAAGGUGAUGAUGGUUCAUGAGGGACCAUUUGUUCCAAAGGAGCUAGCAAGAGAGGAGCCCAAGGGAGUAUCAUCUGAAAAAAGGAAAAGAGAUCUUCAGAUGUGUAUUAAUAUAUGUUGUCACAUAAGCACAUGGAUAUGUGUUAAUAGCACAAGAUAAAGUGACAAAUGGGUCCCCUUUUUUUGUGCAUGCCUUGCAUCAUAGAUGCUUGAAACCAAGAUCCAGUGGGUGUAGUAUCACUGUUUAGUUACCAAAAGGGCCCUACAACUUGUCAAUUUUUCUGUCCUGAUCCAGUGGGUGUAGUAUCACUCUCUUUGCUCUCACUUAUGUAUCAGUAUUCUAUUGCUUUCGACUAUAGUUGGUUUGCUUCUAAGUACAGCUAGAAUUACGCGAAGCCGAAAUACUAAUACAUCAUUAUUUUUUUUUAGGAAAGGUAGCAAGCUACCUGCUUCAUUCAUUGAAAGUAUGAACUAGGCUACAGGAGUGAGGCAACCCGGACCUCUAAGAACGAUACAACAGUCAUAAAAAAAAAAAAAAAAAAACCCAAUCUAAAGGACCGGUCGUAAGAGGGGUUCCCAGGACUUCAGAAGCUGCUUAAUUCGUUGUACAACCAAAAUAGGGUCGAAAUGGACGUUUCGAAAGAUCAAAUCAUUUCUGGCCUUCCAAAUGGUCCACCAGCAAGCAACCAAUUCAGGUAAGCUAUUAUGCUUAUUAUGCAUCCCUUUCUUGGCCAAAAUACAUCAUUAUUUAUUUGCAUGAAAUGUUGAGAACCUAAGAUUAUUUUCCUACCUUUUAUAUAUUCGUUUGCUUGUGAUAUGUUCUACAUGGUAUUGACAAGAAGAUCUCUCUCUUGUAAUAUGCAAAAACGGCCACUUGAAGUACCAUUCCAAAGUAUAAGACUCUAUCAUACAUUCAUAAAAUCAGAUCGAAUCAGAGUGGCGUACGGUACAGAAACAUAAACCUGUACUCGUAUCCUAAAUGUCAACAGGUCGUAUUUUUGAUCGAUCGAUCACGUGCCUCUAAAUAUAUGAUCACCUUGGGUUUAGGUUAGGAUUGGGUCAGGACCGGAUCGUGUUUGGAUAGUUGGAGUACGAGUGAAAUCCCUUUAAUAUUUGUGGUGUCCUGGAACACAAUAUCAAACCACCUUUUGGGACAUUAAUAAUGUAACUGCUGCUCUAUAUACGCAUAAAGGCCAACAACAUCAUAAAAUGCAACCAGGAAACAAUGAAUGCAUGAGGACAGAAAGAACCAGACAACAUUAAUUAGGAAUUUGCUGAUCUCCUCCUGACUCUGUUGAGCCAAAUUAAAGGCAAAUGCCUCACAUCACAUGCUUUCACCUCUCUAUAUUAAUAGCACACUCUCUCUCUCUCUCUCUCUCUUUCUCUCUUCAUGGAUGAUAACAUCAUGACCACUACACCAUCUAUUUGGCCUUUCUAUAAGGUGCAGCUUUGUUCAAUAAGAUCGAAUUUUAGUAGCACUAUUAACAGAAACAAUAUGUGAACAUCACUCUUAGUACAGCUUUUCUUUCCAGAAGAAACAGUAAGUUCCAAAUUAGAAGUUCAACUCGUAAUUUCAUUUCAAGUUUCUGCUUUAGCAAAAGUUUCAGACUUUUUUAUUUAUCCAAUAUUUUGCUAAGAUUAGUAUCGGUGCUCCAACGGGGACUACUACGCCUCUCGCAAUAUUGUACAACUAAAGAAGAUCGAACACAACUUUGAUAAUACGCUGCUAUAUUUUAAUUUAAUAAGAGAGAGGUUAACACCACGGAGUUCUUUUAUUUCUUUCGGUGGUUGUGAGAUAUGUAAUGAGCUGGAGAGGAAGCUUCACUGCGACCACGAGAACUUUAUUCUAUUUACUCAUAUUCACAUGAGAGUCUUUCUAUUUUCUAAGCCUUCCAAGUUUUCAAAUUUAAUUUUGGAGCCUUUUUGAUCUGUGAAGUUAAUUUAGAAUAACCUUGGCUUGUUUGGAAAUUGAAAACUUUCUGCUUCUUUCGGAAUUCAAAAGCGAAAAGGUCAUUUUUGUUUUUGGACACAGCAAAAACCUCCACAUUUUAGGUUCUUCAAAGUUAUCUUUGAAUGAAGCAAAGUUCAAAUCUCGAUUUUAGUCGAAAAGAUAUUCUGAAAGCCGAGGCAAAGAAGCACUUAUUAGUCAGAUAUGUCCUUGAUUUGGACUACCAUGAUUUUCUUUAGUAGAUGGGUCACACAUUCUUUGUCACCUAAACAUCAGUUUCAAAUGUCUUCUCAAUUAAGCAUCAUAAGUUUCUUAACUAAAGCUGCAAUAAAUCAGAAUAAUACUAAUUGAAGUUGCAUAAUAUCAAAGUAUCCUUAGUACAAGUUGCUGAAUCAACAUAUAUAGUAUAAUUGACAAUAACUAAUGUUUCAAAUCUUCAUUACUAAUGCUCACAUGAGAUUAUGUCUAAAAUCUAAAAGGUAAACUAAUCCCCAUAUGCGACUUUCAAAAUAUUAACUCAUCUACUAGUAUAUAUCCAUAUAUAUCCGCAAUACUUUCGAAGGUACAUGUAACAAUUUUACUUGGUGUUUUCAUUUAUUUCAUCGAUCUACUAGGUUUCGCGAUCUUUCUGCUGCGAAACUACUCCAUUAUUGAUGGCUGAGAUCAGACAUUUGAAUUUAAGUACUAUGUGCCUUGUACCUUGCAGUUAAUACUUUUACAUAUUUUGUAAUUAUUUAAGAAGAUAUAAGAAGAAAAAACAAAGAGAUGACAUUUGCAAAUCUUGGGGAGAGGAGAUUAUAAAUCAUAAAAUGCACUCACACAACUUUCGACUAAUAACACCAUGUAAAAAGGCAAAAAAAAUAAAAUAAAAUAAAAUAAAAAACACCUAUCACUUUAAUACUUGCACUGCAAAAAUGGUUUAGUUUGCUACAAGGUCAUGUACUAAUGUCAUCUAUGCAUUAGGGAUCAAAUAUAGAGUAACAAAUCAACACACGAUCAUAAUUAAUCCUCAAUAGAUUUGAUACAUUUUUUUUUUAAGUUCCAUCUAAUCAAAUAGCAUCAAUUAAUGUAAUGGGUACUUAAAUUAUUUUAAUUUUGAUCCCCUAAAUUAUUAAGCAAGAUCAUCAUUCAUAUCCGUAUUUGUACAUUAUAUAAGUGAGAGUUGGAUUAUCUACUCAAAUACUAUAGUAACUUUAGAGAAUCUCUGCUCAACAUUGGAGGGGCCAAGCACUAUCAAUCAUAUUACUUGAUUGUGUUGUUUAAGAAAACUAUAAAGCUACUUAUACCUAACAUUUCCCACAAUUUAAAAUGGAAUUUUCUAUGCACAAAAUGCAUAAAUAUCAAGAUUUUAUUUUAUAAAAUGGUUAAAUUAUAGAAAAUCUUCCAACCAAUACCCACUUUUUCACUUUUCCUCCUAUCAUUUAAAAACUUACACUUUGCUCUCUUAAAAAAUAAAAAAUAUUCACUUUGACCCCCGCCGUCAAUGUUCCAUUAGAGUUCCGUUUAUAUUUUAUUUUUUAUACCCAAAAAAACUUUUGAAAUUCUCAUUCACGCCCACACAUAUACCAUCCUCUGCCGCCUCGCCCACCCCUCUGUCCAUGCCCAGACACACGUCCUCGUCCUUCUCUACCGUCGAAUGAGUAAAAUUGGGGAGGAGGAGAUUGAUGAAGAAGAUGAAGAUAAUUUGAUCAUUUUGUCAUAUCGUAUUUUCUUGUGAAUAUUUUUUAAUUUUGAAGAUGAUAAAGUGUAGAUUUUUGAAUAACAGAAAAAAAAUAUGAAAAAAUGAGUAUUGACGUCAGAAUUUUAUAUAAUUUAGUCCUAUAAAAUGCCCGUGCUAAUUGUAACUGUGGUUUUGAGCAUGUUAUCCAAAAGAGAGUUGUGGAACCAACUUUGGGCAUAUAUAGUUUGACAAAGUUUUGCUAACUAAAUUCAAAACUAAUUUGGGCGCGAAUAAUUAUUGCCUAGAUCAUUAACUCAAAUAUAUUUAUUCUAUCUCAUAUUUUAAAUUAAAUCAGUAAACUAGGUGCAAAAAAAAAAAAAAGCACAUAUGUAAUUUCUCCAUCACACAACUUUUUUUUUUUUUUCCUUUCAUUUUUUUUUCUCUCUACAUUUACUCAACAGUCACACAAAAAUACAUGUCAAAAUUAAAAAUUUGAUAGCUACAAGCCUACAAACACAUAAAUCAACCUAUCUUUUCUAGCAUUACGUGUCACUGUAUUUUUUUUUCUCGUAAUUGGAUAUAGAUAUUGCGCAUUAUCCUAGCCAAAUUAAUAUUCAAAUCCUAAUAUUCUAAUUAAGAAAAUAUUCAAAAUAAAAAAUAACAAAAAAAAAAGAAAAAGAAAACGAAAAGGCGACAGGAGUCCAAUGUUCUCUUCCCUCCCCCUCCAUUUAAUUUCGGAGCUAUGAAACAUUCCCCCAUUCACUCCUCUCUCUCUUUCUCUCUCUCUCUCUCUCUCUCUCUCUCCUCUUUUCCCCCUUCCUCUCCCCACCAACUCCACCUCCGCCCCAUGUGGGCGCUCCCUUUCCACCAUUUUCGCCUCUCCCAACCCAUGUUUCCUCCAAGGCACCUCCUUUUUCGCUCCCCAUUUUCCCCACUUCCUUAGUUUUUUGGGGGGGUUUGGGUUUUUGGUUCAGUUUAAUCCAUAAAGGAGCUUCUUUUAUGGGGGAGUUCGAAGCUUCAGUGUAGAGUGGACAUGAGGAGCUCACUUGGGUUUCCGCUGCUGCUACUUCUCGCCAUCAAAUUCGGCGUCCUCCUUGUGCCCACUCACUCCUCUUUAGAUUCCCAGGGUAUGUUACUAUGUUUAAUGUUUUUUGGGUUUGUGGGUUUCGAUUUGGGUUCCGUUUUGGGGGGUGAAUUGGAUGCGGGUUUUUGGAGAUGGGUCGGAAUUUUGGUUCUAGAGGUGAAUUUGUGAUGUGAUUUGCGUUGUUUUCAGCAAUUUCGGCGCUCGCCGCAUUUAAAAGAGCCAUUUUUGAAGACCCACUUGCGGUUCUAUCUGAUUGGAAUGCACAAGGUGGAGAUCCUUGCAAUUGGUAUGGUGUGGUUUGCUCACCAUCUCAGGAUCUAGUGGUUUCUCUGUAAGAAAAACCCUUCCUUUAACUUUAAUACUCACUUUGCCCCAACUCUUACAGAUCUCAAUUAUGCCCUUUUUUGCUCAGUAUCAGUAGUACUGGAUUUAGUUUGGAUCCUUACCUGUACACUGUUUAUUCCUAUAUAUUCUGUUAAUUAUUGUGCUAGUAUUCUUACUUUACUAUUUGAUAGUACUAGAGGUAAUGUAACCCCAUAUAUGACAAAGUGUAAGUGGUGCCAAAGAAGCUUAUGCAUACUAGCAUUAUGUUUUCUGUGUUCCUGAGAAGUUGUAUACUAUUUUUCCAUAUUAAUUAUCUUAUAUCUGAGAAUGGGAUUUGGGUUCUGCAGAAACCUUUCGAGUUCGUCGCUGAAGGGAUUUCUUGCUCCUGAACUUGGACAACUGAGUUCUCUGCAAGAACUGUAUGAUCUGUUACUAAAUACUAAUUCUUCACUUCUUUUUUUUUGGAGCACAUAAUAAUGUAUUUAUAUCAUCCUACAGGCACUUGGACAAUAAUUCACUUCUUGGAACAAUACCUAAAGAAAUUGGCUUGUUGAAGAACCUCACGGUACUCGACCUGAGCGUGAAUUGGCUUACUGGUCCUGUCCCUCCUGAGCUUGGCGAACUGACGAGCAUAACCAUAAUGUAGGAAGCAAAAUGUUUAGUAUAAAUCUCUUCUUCCCCCCUCCCACCCUUCUUCAUUGGCUACUUUUUCUUUUUCUUUUGAUAACUUGUUAUAUUUCUUUUUUAAAAAAUUUUCCUACACAGAAAUCUUCGCUCCAAUGCGCUGACCGGGAGUCUACCGCCCGAGCUUGGUAAUCUUAAUAAUCUUGUCGAGCUACGGAUAGAUAGAAAUAGACUACAUGGGCCAAUCCCUGGAAGCAACAAUUCAAAUGUUCCUACUACCUCAAGCAGCAUGUAAUCUUUUUUUUAUUUUAAAAAUACAUAUAUGCUUUUCUCAAGGGAAAUUGAUAACCCUUUCACUAUUUUUUUUCUUGUGGCAAAUAUCUGUGGCAAAUAUUUCAAAUCUUUGAUACGUAGGUUAGUACUAUGUUAUUAUUUCAGAUUAAUUUUUUAACUGUUACAAUUCAGGUUAGAUCACAGCAAUGGUAAUGGCCUGUGCCGCUUUGCUCGCUUGAGAGUAGGAGAUUUCUCGUACAACUUUUUUGCUGGAAAAGUUCCAGCUUGUCUGAAGUACCUUCCAAGGUAAAUAAAUUCUAUUUUAAGUCAUCUUAGAUAUACUUCAUUUGAAACUCAUCAGUUUCCUCGGAUCUAUAUGCAGGUCGAGCUUCCAAGGAAACUGCUUCCAAGAUGAAUACUCUGUCCUGCAGCGCACUUCUCAAAUUUGCAAUGGUGCCAUUAUAACUUCUCAAGUCACUUAUUUUUAAUGUCUUUAUUGCUUGAGGCAUCUUUAUAUGCCGAAAUCCAGGGACUAGAAUGAACAAUUGCGAAGUCAAUUGCGAAGUCUUCAUUAUAAACAUUUCAAUGACUAGUCAUUGUCCCUCGAAUAUAAACUCCAUGGAACAUUUACUAUUCACAACAACAUGGAACAUUUACUAUAGAAGGCCUAGGGGUUAGGUUAAUGUUAAUUCUAAUGAUCACAAAGGCACCGUAUAUUUGCUAAGUAUUCGAUCAUUCAUCUUAUUUGCAAUCAUGUGGUUUAUUUACUUGUAACAGCUAGAGUUUUAGGUUUUGCACAGGUGCAUUGAGGUCGUUCCUUUUAUGUGAAUAAAUUGAUACGCAUCUAUCAGUAAUACGUGCAUACUGUAUGCAAAUGUACUUCUUCUUAUGCUUAUACUUAAGAGAAAUAAAUUUACAUUUUUACAUGAUGGAUCUCAUAAAUCUACUGUUAUCAUGGAGGAAUUUACUGGUUUUCAGAUUGCUAGUCUCUGAUAGACUGAAAAGAGAAUUUGUUGCCCUUCCUUAGGUUCUUCUGCAAAAAGCCAGCAAGUAGGCAAAGAGAAAUAUAAACAAUCGAACGAAUGGCAUAAGCACCAAAGUCUACAGCAGCCAGAGUGGCUUCUGAUUCUGGAAAUUACUACUGGUGUUCUUGUGGUUGUUUUCGUAAUCACUGGUGCUGCUACUGCAGCUGGAAAUUGCAAGCUAAAGCCCACUGUAAAAAUUCCUUGGAAGAAAUCGAAGAAUUGGAGGGCGGACAUCGCAAUGUCUAUUGGUUAGUACCAAGUUUGUUACUGGCUAUCAAAUUGAGUGCUUCAUCACAAAAUGGCAGCUGAAACUAAUAAAAUUGUACAAAUUUUUGUGCCAAUAGACAGUGAAAUCCUGAAAAACAUCCCGAGAUUAAGUCGGCAGGAACUUGAAGUAGCUUGUGAGGAUUUCAGCAACAUUAUCGGCUCAUCUCCUGAUAGUAUACUAUAUAAAGGAACUAUGAAGGAUGGACCUGAAAUUGCUGUUAUUGCACUGUGCUUCUCUGAAGAACACUGGACGAGCUAUCACGAAUUCUUCUUUCAGAAUAAGGUAAAUUAUUGGCCAAAAUAGCUUUCAAUUAUUUUAUUUUCAUGCCGAAAAUUUAAUUAGGAGAUCUACCUUUCAGUUGGCUGACCUGGCAAGGUUGAAUCACGAGAAUGUAGCAAAAUUGCUUGGUUAUUGCAACGAAAGCGAACCAUUUUCAAGGAUACUAGUCUUUGAAUAUGCAUCUAACGGAACCUUGUAUGAGCACCUUCAUUGUAAGUCAUUUAUACUCUUUUGGCUUAAGCAUACAAAUUCAUCCAAUUAUAGGUCAUUUGGAAACUAGUUCUCUACUUUUUUUUUCCUCCCGAUAUGAACCAUUUACUGAAGCAUUGUACAGUUUCAGAAGAUGCCAUCAGGAGUAAAGUAUAUUUGGGACUAUUUUGAUGGAAUGAUAGAGUAUUCUGAAACUCAUUUUACGGAAAUUGAGGCCUGAUUGUGUUCUCUAAGAUCGUACAACACUAAGUUAGGGUUUCAAAUCCAAAAACUUCAACUUCAGGGCCUAUAUCCAAAUAUCAUAGUAGUUGGUUGGAUUCUUAAAUUUUUGCCUACUCUUUCUUUUGGUAUAUUGGUGCCAUCUUAUUUCGGACCUAAGGAUGCAUAUUACUUUUUCUUUUAGAUGGUGAAGGAUCACAGUUAUCAUGGAUUAGGCGCAUGAAAGUAGCUAUGGGUAUUGCGAAAGGACUAAGGUACCUUCACACAGAGCUGCAGCCUCCGUUCACAAUAGCUGAAUUGAACACAAAUGCAGUGUACAUCACCGAAGAUUUCACCCCAAAGGUUUGCAUUCCAUCAAGUAUAAAUUGUUCUACUUUUUUUGCCUGCUUUGACAUAGCUUCUUUACCAAAUUAAGGAGGUACUGACCCAACUGUUUUAUAAGCAGAUAGUUGAUUUUGAGAGAUGGAAAAUGAUUUUUUCGAAAUAUCAGAAGGGUUCUGCCUGUGUUACAAAUGGAGGUUCUUUUCGUGAUUUUGUGGAUUGCUUAGAGCAAAGGCAUUCGGAUGUCCAAGGCAAUACAUAUGCUUUCGGAGUGAUUUUGCUCGAAUUGAUCAGUGGAAGGCCUCCAUAUUGCAAAGACGGAGGAUGCUUGGAGGAUUGGGUGAGCAUUUUAUCAAUUUCGUACUUUCAAAUUACAUCUUCUGGUCCCAUCUGUGAUAAACCGAGCAUUUCCGUUGUAUAAUUUUAAUACGGUUGAAGCACGUAGUGUAUUUGCAUUUCAAUCUAGUGCAUUUGUUAAAUUUUUCAUCAAAUUUUUUUUUCUAACUCACAUAUUGAUCUUAAACUUGUUACAGGCCAGAGAAUAUCUUCAGCACCCAGAGGAGAUAGGAAAGCUGGUGGAUCCCGAACUGGAGAACGUGAAAGCCGACGAUCUCGCCGUUAUAUGUAGCGUGGUCAGCCUAUGCAUCGAGCCCGACCCUUCCAAGAGGCCGUCGAUGCAAAUUAUCGCAUCAGUUCUGGAGAAUGGGAUCAACCUGUCACCAGCUGCCCUGCUGAAAGAUUCGCCUUUAGCGUGGGCUGAACUCGCCUUAUCGUCGUAACUAAUAAUCCUUCCACAUUGUAAAUUCGUCUCACACGAAAUACCUUCUUCUUACUCUCUUUUUUUUUCCCUUUCUAUUUUUAAUAUUUUCCUCUUUAGUCCUUUAUUGGCCUUGUUGUUUGUACUAAAAUAGCUUGCGACGGUAACAACUGAUGAGUUGAAUGUGUGGCAAAGCUGGGUUUGCUGUAUAAUAAGUUGCUGUAUAAGUUUGAUUGAUCCAUACACUUAACAUUGGUUACAGAAGUUAAGGAAUUGAGAUCUGGUGGCUUCAUCUUCAAUAGUUUUAUUCUCAUUGUCCAUGUGCUGCUGCUGCUGCUAUUAUUUUAUACUACAAUAUCAAGAAAAAUCAAUUAUUGGUGAUCUAAUUUAAAAUUGGGUACUUAUUUAUUUAUAUAUGAAUUUCUUUAUUUAUUUUAGUGGGUCCUCAAUGCUCAAAAUACAGUCAAAAGUGUGCAAAUCAGUUGAUUUAUACAUAUUUCCUUCUACUUUUUCUUUUUCCCCCUCUAGUACAACACGUCUUCUCAAUGAAAAUUGACUUUUAGUAAAAUAAAAAAAAAAUCCAUAAAAAAUGUACCUAUUUCAUCAAGAAUAUUGAAUUAUGGAUAGUAUUUGUAUUAUAGUAAAAUUUGUUUGGAUCCAAAGAAUCUAUUUCAUUGAAUAGUAAUUUAUAUACUAAAAAAAAAAACUCGAUCUGUCUCUGUCGCCCUCAUUCAUAUGGUCAAAAAAUUUGAUUAAAAAGAGGAGCAGGUAUAUAUUAUUGCAUAUUAUUUCUCGUAAAAGCCAAAAAAAUGUAAGAGGUUGACGAAGGGGACGACCAUUUCCUGUUGUAGAGACCAUUCCAACCUUAAGAUGGUUCCAAGUAGCUUCCUCUUGCUCCCCACCACUAUUAUAUAUAUGGUAGGUACCAUUGGACUUAAUUAAAUAAUUAGUCUCUUUCUUAAAAAUUUUUUAAAAAAUAAUAAAUAAUUUCUUUCUUCGUAGCUACUAUUAUCACUGGACUCUUCUUAAUGAGUGUGUUUUGCUAGAGAAUGUUGUUAAAUAUAAAAAUAUUUAAAACACUGUUCUCUAACCGCUUAAGUUUUUAGAAUAUAACGGUUGUUUCACAUAGUAUCAAAACAGGAAGUCCUGAGUUUGAAUCACGCCAGACUCCUAGCAUAUUAAUUUCCUCCCAUUUAAUUCAAGCCCACGUUAUGGGCCGAUUAAAAAGUCUCGAACCCAGACGUGAGGGGGAGUGUUAAAUAUAAAAAUAUUUAAAAUACUGUUCUGUACAACGGUUGUUUCACAAAUGUAAUAUUAUUGUAUAAAAUAUUAUCUAUAAAAAAAUAUUUUAUGUCAAUUUUUCAACAAAUUUCUUUUAUAAUAAUAAAAUUUAAAGUACCAAAUGAGAACUUCUAUGCUUUUUCAGUUUCUUAAGGCCAAAAAGACUAAAUUAGAUUAGAGAAGACAUUGUCACAUCUGAUACCACCAUCGCAAGGACUCUUCCUUAUGAGAAAUUUUGAACUGUAAAACCUAACUUAGCAAGGACAAUUGUAUUAAUAUGCAGGGUCAUUUGCAUAAUUAAAAGAAUGGAAAGGGUUUGCUAAGAUUUAUGAUCAUAUAUAAAGCAAUUUUUUUUUCUCUAAAAAUUUACACCGCUAAAAAAUGGUGUUUCAUACACAUUAAUUCAACAACAGAAAUAAUAAAUGAUGUAGAGACCCAACUGGUGUCAGCUUCCCUGGUCCACCCAAUCGCUUGAUAUGGUAAUGGUACAAGCUAUGACAUGCACAAAAGACUAGUGAUUAAACUUUUUUUUUUCCUACAUAAAUGAAGCAAAAUUGUUUUCUUUGUACACCAAUAAUAGUUUGUGGAGGCAUAUGCUUCAGGGAUCUUCCCACCGAGGGCAUAUGCUUCAGGGCACCUUCCCACUGAUUUUAGGAUAGUCAAAUACGUGGUUGAACUACGUCCAGAAAUGACGGUUUUUGUCUAAACUAAAAUAUUAACAAACUAAAAUAUUAACAAAUUAAAAUAUUAAGCUGGUAGGUUGUUGUUGAAUAUAAAAUUAUAUAAAUACCGUUCUCUAACAGCUUAAGCUUUUAGAGUACAACGGUUGUUUCACAUGGUAUCAAAGCAGGAGGUCCUGAGUUCGAGUUACGCCAGGCUCCUAACAUAUUAAUUUCCUCCCAUUUAAUUCAAGCCCACGUCAUGGGCCGAUUAAAAAGUCUCGAUCCCAGACUCUUAAGCUUUUAGAGUACAACGGUUGUUUCACAAUAAAUAUAAAAAUAUUUAAACACCGUUUUCUAACAUACAAUGGUUAUUUCACAUGGUAUCAGAGUAAGAGGUUAUUUCAUAGUCUAGACAGAAAAGAAUCAUAUAAUCUUUCGAGCCAAACUCGCCACCCCUUCCUGGUCGGUUGAGCGCGUCAAACUCCCGCUAGCCUCUUAGAACCAUAUUCUUUGAUCGCCUGAUCCCUGUCCCUUAGUCAUCUAUCCCUUUUCCCUCUUUCCCCACCGCUCGUUCCUUCUUCGUUUUAUUUUUCUUUCCCUUUUUAUCUCCUUUUCGUCUCUUUCUGUUGUAUCAUUUUUAAGAAAGCUCCAGCUGCUUUCAUCCUGUUUGCUUAGUUUAUUUUGCUUAAUGAAUGAAACAUGUAGCUUGCUACAUUUUCUCAAAAAAAAAAGCAAAGUAAAAUGAAUACCCAAUCAAAGCAGAAUGCUGAUCCAUUUAAAUCGGCAAUCUUUAUCUCAUAUUAGUUGUCAGAUCGUUAACGCUAGUUAUUAAUUCUAAAAAAUUGAGCUGUUAGAAAUACGCAACUAAUUCAUUUAAAGCGUAUAGACAUAGUGUUCAUGGCUCUCUGCGGAUCUCGAUUAUGAUUCGAUCAAAUCAGUCUUACACAACUUCAAAUAUGACUCGACUAAUUCAACCUCACGCCAUUUCGAACAUAUCCGACCCAACCUAAUCUUCUGCCACAGGACUAAUGGUAAUCCAUUUAAACCAACACAAAUGUUGGACCAGCUUAAGAUAAAAAUUAGCCUGAUGCUGGUAUAUUUUUUUUUAUUUUUCAGUUUAAUUUGUGAGCGCAUUCAAAUUCGGAUGGUGAGAGAUCAUGCUAGUUGUGCCCUACAACAAACAGUUGAAAGCGAAAGGCUACCUUUUUAAAAUCUUUUUUGUCUUUUUGUUCGUGGGGUUUGGGGGGUUAGGGGGGGUGAAAGCGAAAGAAAGACAGUUGGGUGGGGCCGAGUUCGGGUUUUCAGAGCCCACAUGAAAUAGUGUGUUCGUUGGAAAAGCCGACUUCGCUACGCGAGCAGGGAAGAAAGCAAACACCGGAAUGAGAACCUCGGCUGCCAGAACAUCAAGGUCCUAUUUCUUCGACAAUAUUCUAGAAAGAGUACGUGGGUCAGUGAAAACAGUUUCUUAUUUAUUAUUAUUUUUAUUUUUUAACUUGUCUAUAAUAAUUCACUAAUUCACUAAUAAAUCUCACAGCUCCUGCAUAUUUCUACCAAUUUAUCAUCUAACAAAUCAGAAGUUAGUUAAUAUUUUUAACUAAAUUUAUUUUUUUUAAAAAAUAAAUAAAAUAAAUAGCAUUUUAUAUUUCUUUCGAAAACAGAUGAAAAGUCCCGGUAGAAGCUUCAAGUUCCUUGUACGUCUUAAACGACAACUUGGGCAACAAUUACUAACCUUUGUAACAAAAAAACCAAUAGUAAUUUUUUUUAAGAAAAAAACAGCACGGGAUUUAAAAUUAAUUUUAUAGCAUAUAAAAGUACUUAAUUCCCGAUCAUGAUGGCAACAAGUACUGUAAAGACAAACCUUAUAUAUUUUAUUUCAUUAUAUAUAUAUAUUUUUUAUUACUUAUUUAUUUUUUUAAGGAAAACUUCAAAAACCCCCCUAGGUUUCACACUUUUUCAUUUUAGUAUCCUAUAGUUUUUUAAAUCACAAGAAACUAAAGUGAUAAAGUGUAAAACCACAGGGUACUAAAGUGAUAAAGUACAAAACCACAGGGUACUAACUUAAUACACUUUAAACCACAGGAUACUUAAGUGAUAAAGUGAGAAACAACGGGUACUAACUUGAUACAUUUUAAACCACAGGAUAUUAAAGUGAAAAAAAUUGAAACCACAAGGGGGGUUUUUAAAGUUUUUCCUUUUUUUAAUUCAAAUAAAAGGAGAAAAUAUUUUGUGUAGAAGUCGCUCCAUAUUAUUAUGAGCUUAUAUCUAGCCAAUUAAAAUAUCUAUUUUUAGAAAAAAAAAUAUAUAAUAAAAAUAUUUUUAUAUAAAAUAUGAUGGAAUAGAUAAAUUUUAAUUAAAAAGGCAUUAUAAUUGAUUGGACCACGCAACAAUAGAAAAUAUGGCUGGAAACCUUUAUUUUUUUUUUUUUAUUAAUAUAGAGAGAGCAAUAAAAGCUGGUUCUAUCAUAUAUCUAUGCCCCGGCCGUGAUGGCUUUGGCGGGAGCUAGGAAGUGCUCGGCCAAUAAGCGCCGUUGGAUCUUCCCUGUGGCAGUCUUGGGAAGCGAGUCGGUGAUGUACACCUUCUUGGGCACCUUGAACGCCGCGAGAUUCUUCCUGCAGUAGCUCACCACCUCCUCCGCCCCGAUCUCCGCCCCCUCCCUCGGAAUCACCGCGCAGUUUAUCUGCAAACCAUUCACCAGCAAACGAACGGACGGCUCAGAUUUUCUUGUUUUUAAUAUAAUAAUAAUAUAUAUAUAAAAUAAUUUCAAAUUCGCAAAAUUUUCUAUCAAAUAAUAAUAAUAAUAAUAAUAAUAAUAAAAGAAAGAAAAGGACUCGCCUCCUCGCCGUAUUUAUCGUCGGGCACGCCGAACGCCACGGCCUGCGCGAUAUUCGGGUGCGCCAGCAGCACCGCGUCCACCUCGAUCGGCGAGAUCUUCUCACCUGCUCACCAGAAUUCGAUGAGAUCAGAUCACUAGAUCUAUUCAUGGCAACUCUCUCAAGUCUCACCUCCGCGGUUGAUGAGCUCCUUGAUCCGGCCCACGAGGCGCAGGUACCCGUCGUCGUCGAGGAAGCCCACGUCGCCCGUGUGGAACCACCCGUGCCGGAACGCCUCCCGGUUGGCCGCCGGGUUGUUCUUGUAGCCGCCGGUCACGUUGGGCCCCCGCACGCACACCUCCCCGGGCGCGUGCGGCGGACGCGGGUUCCCCUCCUCGUCGAGCACCGCCAACUCCUGGCCCACGGCCCGGCCCACCGACCCGGCCUUGUGGGCCCCGUCCUCGGGCAGCGGGUUCGACGUCAUCAGGUGCGCCGCCUCCGUCAUGGCGUACGCCUCCAGCACCGGCGCGCCCAGCGCCGCCUCCAGCCGCGCCAGCACCGCCGGGGCCAGCGACGCGCUGCAGCUCCGCACGAACCGGAGCCGCGGGUAAGCCCCCUCCGGCUCCGGCCGCGCCGCGUGCCGGUCCAGCAGGAUCUGGUGGACCGUCGGCACCGCCGUGUACCACGUGGCGCCCGCCGCGCGCAUCUCGCCCCAGAACGCCGACGCCGAGAAGCGCCCCGCGACGGGGAGCGCCGCGGCGCCGCCCGCGGCGAGCGAGCUGAGCAGCGCCGCGACGAGCCCGUGGACGUGGAAGAGCGGGAGCACCACCACGGUCGCGUCCGACUCGCUGAGCCGGUACACGGACCGGAUGUUGCUGACCGACGCGGCCAGGUUGAGCUGGGUGAGCGGGACCCCCUUGGGUCGGCUCGUCGUGCCCGAGGUGUGGAGGAAGAGGGCCACGUCGGAGGGCUCGUUGCCGAACAGGGCGGCCUCCGGGUCGGACCGGGCCGGGAGGGAGAGCCGGACCGGCCCGGCCGCGUCGGCGAGCGCGGCGGUGGCGCGGGGGAUCCCGAGCUUGGACGCCGCGGCCUCGGCGGCGGCGUUGCCCUCCGCGUUUGUCAACAGGAGGGUCGACUCGGAGUCGGAGAGGUAGAACUCGAACUCCUCCGCCGUGUACGCCGAGUUCAGCGGCGCCGCCACCGCCCGGGCCCGUAUCACCGCCAGGAACAUGAUCACAUACUGCACGGAAACCCAAGCAGAUACUCAAUAACCUUUUUUUUUUCUUUUUAAUAUUAAACUUUAAUAUCAAUUUAAUAUAAAUAUAUGUAAAAUUUUAUUCUAGCGAAAGAAAAUUAAAUAAGACUAGAAAUCUGGAAGGAAGAAGAAAAAAAGGAUAGGCGGUGGCAGGGGGGACCUCGACGGUGUUGGGGAAGGUGAGGGCGACGACAUCGCCCGGGCGGACGCCUGCGGCAGCAAUGGCGGCGGCGGCGGACUCGACGAGGUCGUGGAGCUGCGCGUGCGUGAGAUCGAGCUUGCCGGGGACGAGGAGGGCGCGCCGGCCGGGGAAUUUCUCCGCGGCCUCCUUCAGAAGCCCAGUUAGGGUGAGCCCUUCCUUGUUCGCCAUUUUCCUUAUAUUUUUCUUUCUAUUUUUUUUUUAAAAAAAACCUAUAAACAAAUUGUGGUAUGCAGCAGAGCGGAAAGAAUUGAGGAGUAGGAUGAUAUGGUUUGGUAUUUAUAGGCAGUUAAGAAAGUAAAGUCACAGGGGAACCGACGACGAGUAUCUCCUGCUGAUCCGCGUGUAUAAUAUAAUAUAUAUAUAUAUAUAUAUAUAUAUAUAUAUAUAUAUAUAUAUAUAUUANUUUAUGUGCACGUAUCUAGUAUUUUAAUUUAUAGUGAUAAAUUUAAUAAAUACUGGCCAAAAUUUUACUGUUGUUGUAAAUUACUAUAAUUUAUAUGCUUUUUGAUAUAAAAAUACUUUAAAUAUUAUUAUAAAGAAAUAAUUUCGAUGUGUACUUUUUCUUCGAAGGAGGGGACUUGGCCGUGCUGCGACGCGUGCGAGGGAUGGGUGAGCAGUGAUUCCCGGGUAGUUGGCGCUCGCGCCACCUCCGGGCCCGCGAGCUGCUGCCACGUGUGCGUCCCUUCGCGGCCUGGAACGUGGAAAGUCGUACGUGCACCUGGUGCGCCAUUACGCCCUGUGUACCGCCCUUCUUAAUCUCAGCUGUUAGUCCUGCAGUAUUUUCAAUUGCACCGUUAGUUAGUUCUUAAUUUUGGGACGGGUUUUAUUUUCGAUCUCUAAUUUCAAAGCUCGUAAUUUCAAACCUUGCAAAAAGUAUUUCAUUUUGAUCCUUUCCCUUGUUAAUUAUUUAUUAAAAAAAAAUUACUUUAGGGGCAUGAUACACAUCUUUAUUUUCACGUGAUCUUGCAUCCUGUUCUAAUCCUAUUGUUUACCAAGUUGCAAUCUAACGGAUAUGAAGCAAUGAACUCAUGAUGUAAGUCAACAAAGAAAAGAAUUUCAAAAGCAUGCAAAUUACUUGUGAAGCGCUGAUAGAAAAUCGUGGUGCAUGGGGUAUACUAAUACACUGAAUCUACAGAAAUCCUUGCAAGUGGAGUGGUGGCAUUAUCUGGAGCAGGGAAGAUUGAUUUUUUUGGAUUCUGGCUGCUUCUGGACGCGGGCGCUUCGUUUUUCUGUUGCAACCUCCACCACUUGUACCUUUUCUAGCUUUUUAAUGAAAAAGAAGACAAUCCAAUGAUGUUAUUGGCGCAUCCGGAGAUAGGACCAGGCUAGAAUACUGUUAAUAAUAAAUUAAUUAUUUAUAUUAUUAAAUUUUUAAUUUUUGGAUGAAGCGAUAUGCGCGGUUGGAAUAAUAAUAAUUUUCUAAAGUUGAGUGGAUAGUUAGUUCAACAAUAUAAUUUAACGGAUAAAAAUGAUCAAAAUGAUAAAUCUAACGGCAGAAAAUUUGGUAACACCAAGUGUUUGGUGUCAUCGAUAGCCGGACUUCUGAAGAUAAAUAUAAAUUUUUGUAUUUUUAUUUAUUCAAAGGUUUUAAAAGUCAAAUAUAUAUAUAUUCUGAAAUGCACGAGCCGAUCAUAAUUGAGAUUAUAUCUGAUUUGCUUGCCAACGUGUCCGACUAGAUUAAAUCGGGUCAUGUGGUGUUCGGUCCAGUCGGGUUCGACUAGAGUUCGGGUGAUGUCCAAUGUUAAGUUACCUGAUAACUGUGUAUAAGGGCUACUUUAGCUAGAGCGUUACUCUUGAUACAAAAUUUUCUAUAUCGGCGGCGUGCUUCGUGUAGAUGUAGUUCUCUGAGUCGUUUUAGUAAACUCCUAAUGGCCUCUGGAGUCUACGAAAGGCUACGAUUGGAGAGACGACACCGUAACUUUCCCAACCCAACAUUGUCGUCUAUUCUACGCUACUAUUUAACAUAAUUGUUACAUCCUGCUUUGAACUAUUGUCAUGAUACGUCACCAUUCCAAAUUCUCAAUUAUUAAUUAUGGCUCCAAUGGAACUCUGAGCUAAUUAAUAUAAUAUAGACAAUUUAGGAUUAAUAUUCUCUAACGAUGCUUCCGCUACCGCUAGGCACACCAAAAUAAUACAUAAUUGAGUGUUACAACUAAUGCACGCCCAAACGAGGCUGAUCUGAACUAGGCAAACUAAAAACAAGUAGAGUCAAAAGUUAAUCUAAUGGCAACUUGGUAAUUAAUUCGUACACCUUCUUGUGUAGGAAAAGAGCGGUAGCGACAAGCCUUGUGUUAUCAAAUUGAAGCUCCGUGUGCUUUUGCAAUUUAAAGCUGUGUCUCAAUUGUCUCGUCUUUUUUUGACAAAAAGUGAUGAUGCGCGAAUUGUUCGAGCAAAUUCCUUUCUCCGAUCACUCAUUAGUUUCGACUCAUGGGAUUGUACGAUGGCUGUGAAUGAAGCUAUAGUUAUCGGCAUGGAAAAUUUCCUUAUAUUGGAGCCAUUCUGCAUUACACUAAGGAUGCGUUUGGUUUGGUUCGCAUUAUGAAAGAUUAUUAGAAAUUAAAAAAUAUUCGAGAAUUUUAUUCCUAUUUAUCUUAUUACUAAGAAUGUUAAAUUUCUGUAUUUGAUUCGUACGGCCAUAUUAUUUAGCUAUGCGAUUUAAGAUUACAAAAAAUAUACUAUUGAUUUAUUUAUUUAUUUGUAGAUAAUGCUAUAAAAAAUUUCAACAUCUUUUUAGAAAAAAGAGAGAGAACAUAAAUUAGAAAAAAAGAGUAUAAUUAAAAAAAAUAGAAAGAGAAAUAGAGUCGAAAUUAGGAGUGAGAGAGUUGAGAUUUUAGAAAAAGUGGGAGAGAGAAAGCCUAGUUUAGAGAGAGAAAAAGAAUUGAAGUUUAAAGAGAAAAAUAUAAGUUUAGAGAGUGAUAUGAGGUUAGAAUGUAAAGAAAAAUAAUACCAACUAGUCGGCGGGUAGAGAGAAAAAAAAAGAUUAGACAUAUUAUAAUUACUCCAAUCCAUUAAUAUGAGGAUACUCAUCAUCCCUCAAGGAAAUGAGAUUAGUACUUUGGGAUGAAUUUCAUUCCCAAGUAAUCUAAUAUUACCAACUAGAUUACUUAGUUCAUUUAGCCAAACACCGUCAUAUUUUUUUUAUUCUUAUUAGAUUUCUAGAAAUCUUUAAAAGAUAGCGCGAACCAAACGCACCCUAAUGCAGAUGCCACAUAGAAAGUUUCUGCUGAUGAGUAGUGGAAUAUUCAUUCCAUGUGUAGAAAUUUUUUACACAUAAAAUUGUAUCUAAUCAAAACGUGCAUUGAAACCACCUGCACCCUGGGAGAGAUUUGAGUUUUAUUCUAAUUCCAAUCCCAGCAUAUAAUGAAAUGUCUAGUCUAGAAAAGAAAGGGGGGAAAAAAGAAAAUCCAAAAAGAUAUUUGAAUACAUCUGCAGCUAGGCCUGCUAAUGAGCCGAAUAUUGGGGCCCAUUAGACUUCAUUCGUCCCCUGCCGUGGAAGUGGGCUGGGCUAGGACACGGUCCACCGCAUCAUCCGUGCACCACCAAAGUUUCACAAAUUAUUUUAUUUUUUGCUUUCAAUUUUAUUUUUACUUUUAAUUCCUAUUAUAUUUUAUGUUUGUUGCAGAGCGUGCAUAACAUUUAAAUGGAGAUGAGAAAAAGAGCCCAUGCCUACUAAAGAGAAAGAUGUUGGACGUAACGAGUAUCUGGUCUCAGUAUUCAAUAAUUUAUUUAUAUCAAACUAGUAUUAUUGUGCUAUACAAAUACAAGGAAAUGAACAGUUAAAGUGCAAAAUAUUUAUUAUUGUAUUUUUUAUAUAUAACUUAAUUGUUUUGACUUAAUAAUACUGUUAAGUUUUAUGCGUAGUAGCUGUGAUAAAAGCAAGAGCAAACUCGGCCCACUUGAUUUUCCCAUGACUGGUGUACCGGUGACGUGGUGGACGUGGUCCGUGGAUAUCUCGUCUUGGUAAUUUCGCAAAACCUUCGAAGGGCCAUGGUACGAGAUAUUUAUUCCUUGUGGGGUCCACAUGAUCAAAGGGAUCUGGGCCCACGUGCGACGUGACUGAUCCGAUGGCGUCAACGCCACGUGGAACAUGAGUAGCCGCCCCUCUCUUUUCAUGUCUGAAUUAAUUAUUUUUUAUUAAAAAUAUAUAUAAUAACUUUAUUUUUUAAUAAAGAUGACACGUAUACACCUUGUCAGUAUAAUCUGAUUUAUUGAAGACAUACAUAAAUAAUUUUUAUUUUUGCUGCUUGAACUUUACAAUUUUUGUACCUGCGUUGUGUUUCAAUAAUUACACCGAGCUACUCGAGUAAAAUAAUGUGUCUCUUUCCUCUUAACUUUUAAUGAAAAGGGAAAACUUUAAAAAGUCCCCCAGUGGUUUCGUAGUUUCUCACUUUGCUUUUCUGUGGUUUAAAAUAUAUCAAUUUGCCCUUCUGUAGUUUCUUUUUUCUCUUUUUCUUAUAAAUUUCAUUAUUUUUUUUCUUAAAUCAGUGAUAAAAUUAAAAUUAAAGAGUACUAAAGUGAAUAUUUGAUAAAUCUAGAUGGGUAUCUGAAGUUUUUUAUAUAUAAUUUAAUAAAAAUUAUUAACGAAAAAGCUACCGACAAAAUAAAAACGAAACCACAGGGGGCAAAAGUGAGAAACUACAACACUACAGGCGGGGUUUUUGAAGUUUUUCCUAGUGAAAAAUAUAUAGUACCUAUGAUCUAUAUGUGUGUAUAAAUUUUUUUAUACCUUUAUUAUUCUUAGAUUCACAAAAUUUUAAAUAUAAUUUUGAUAAAAAAAAUAUUUAUAAAACUAGUGGGAAAUAAGAGCUCUUGGAAAAGUAGGUUGUUUUUAAAGAAUAUUAGUGAUA